AAUAGAAUGCAAGUCAGAGCGAACAGAAGGGAGCUUGCUCCCGGAUGUUAGCGGCGGACGGGUGAGUAACACGUGGGUAACCUGCCUGUAAGACUGGGAUAACUCCGGGAAACCGGAGCUAAUACCGGAUAGUUCCUUGAACCGCAUGGUUCAAGGAUGAAAGACGGUUUCGGCUGUCACUUACAGAUGGACCCGCGGCGCAUUAGCUAGUUGGUGGGGUAAUGGCUCACCAAGGCGACGAUGCGUAGCCGACCUGAGAGGGUGAUCGGCCACACUGGGACUGAGACACGGCCCAGACUCCUACGGGAGGCAGCAGUAGGGAAUCUUCCGCAAUGGACGAAAGUCUGACGGAGCAACGCCGCGUGAGUGAUGAAGGUUUUCGGAUCGUAAAGCUCUGUUGUUAGGGAAGAACAAGUGCGAGAGUAACUGCUCGCACCUUGACGGUACCUAACCAGAAAGCCACGGCUAACUACGUGCCAGCAGCCGCGGUAAUACGUAGGUGGCAAGCGUUGUCCGGAAUUAUUGGGCGUAAAGGGCUCGCAGGCGGUUUCUUAAGUCUGAUGUGAAAGCCCCCGGCUCAACCGGGGAGGGUCAUUGGAAACUGGGAAACUUGAGUGCAGAAGAGGAGAGUGGAAUUCCACGUGUAGCGGUGAAAUGCGUAGAGAUGUGGAGGAACACCAGUGGCGAAGGCGACUCUCUGGUCUGUAACUGACGCUGAGGAGCGAAAGCGUGGGGAGCGAACAGGAUUAGAUACCCUGGUAGUCCACGCCGUAAACGAUGAGUGCUAAGUGGUUAGGGGGUUUCCGCCCCUUAGUGCUGCAGCUAACGCAUUAAGCACUCCGCCUGGGGAGUACGGUCGCAAGACUGAAACUCAAAGGAAUUGACGGGGGCCCGCACAGCGGUGGAACAUGUGGUUUAAUUCGAAGCCACGCGAAGAACCUUACCAGGUCUUGACUCCUCUGACACCCUAGAGAUAGGCUUUCCUUCGGGACAAAUGA
Molecule: ribosomal RNA, 998 nt
Filed under: Bacillus sp. (in: firmicutes)
Lineage: Bacteria; Bacillati; Bacillota; Bacilli; Caryophanales; Bacillaceae
Description: bacterial SSU rRNA
Rfam family: Bacterial small subunit ribosomal RNA
Source: RNAcentral